This 972-nucleotide long non-coding RNA is filed under the name Helianthus annuus (common sunflower). Its description in RNAcentral is "hypothetical non coding rna". The record is from RNAcentral. Lineage: Eukaryota; Viridiplantae; Streptophyta; Magnoliopsida; Asterales; Asteraceae.
GUCACCUCUUUCCACGUUACCUUUCAUCUUUACCAAAUCGAUUAAACGUCUCGAUUCUUCUUGAACCCUAAAUCGUUAAUCAGAAAUCGAUCGCAUGACAACAACAGCGCUCUAACCUGGCACCCAUCUCCUCCUUCGCAAGCCCUAAGUUCUCCUUCUUUUUGACCACCAGAUCUCCUCAGCGUGUCAUCUUUAAAGUCGGGUUUGCCGAGCCUCGAUUUUGCCUUCACACAAUGGGCAGAAGUUGGAUUGUUGAUGGUAGAGCUAUUGCAUAAAAGGUUGAAACCUGUAGUCCGCCUUUGGUAAAUCAAGUCAAAGACUGGAGCAAUUCAGGAUUGACCACGAUGCCAUUUCAGGAUUGAUAGUAGUGAUGUAUGAGUAGAGUAGUGGCCUGGGCUUCCCAUUGGUGUGAAAUUUGAACCCACUGAUCUGAUCUUGCGUUUUUAGAAAAUUCGACAGCCAAAUGUGGUGUGGGGAAUCAAAAACCACACCAAUUAAUUGAUGAGUUCAUCCCUACACUUGAUGUAGAUGAAGGAAUAUGUUCCAAACAUCCUGAAAAUCUUCCUGGUGAGAAGAGUGCUUAUGAUGCAAUGUUUUCAAUAAUUAGUAGAGCUGGAAUACUUGGCGGAUUAGGCAAUGGGUGAAAAUGGGAUAGUGAUGUUGAGAAAAUAUUAUAUGGACUCAGCUAUAUAGGAGCAACUAAUGCAUCAUUGUUGGGGGUGAGAUGGACAAACUUGCAAUUGAAGAACCAGGUUUAAAGAACCAUGGUGUUCCUCAAAAGUUUCUUACAAGGAUUUACCAUCUCAAAAACAGGUUUUAGUUUAAUUUUAAGUUCAAAUUAGAUCAUUUUAUAUUAUUAUGUUAGAUAGUAACAUAAAGUUUUGGUAAAUAUUAGGAUUACGGAUUUGAGAGUUAUACAAUUUAAUAAAUACAUAUCGGAUAUUAAUGUGUUUUCCUAAUAUCUUGAUUUGC